RNAcentral lists this transfer RNA (69 nucleotides) under Schedophilus velaini. RNAcentral describes it as "tRNA-Asp". It matches the Rfam family "tRNA". From Rfam's summary of the family: Transfer RNA (tRNA) molecules are approximately 80 nucleotides in length. Their secondary structure includes four short double-helical elements and three loops (D, anti-codon, and T loops). Further hydrogen bonds mediate the characteristic L-shaped molecular structure. tRNAs have two regions of fundamental functional importance: the anti-codon, which is responsible for specific mRNA codon recognition, and the 3' end, to which the tRNAs corresponding amino acid is attached (by aminoacyl-tRNA synthetases). tRNAs cope with the degeneracy of the genetic code in two manners: having more than one tRNA (with a specific anti-codon) for a particular amino acid; and 'wobble' base-pairing, i.e. permitting non-standard base-pairing at the 3rd anti-codon position. The record is from RNAcentral. Lineage: Eukaryota; Metazoa; Chordata; Actinopteri; Scombriformes; Centrolophidae.
AAGACACUAGUUAAAUUAUACCGCUGCCUUGUCAAGGCAGCCUUGUGGGUUAAAAUCCCACGUGUCUUG